Molecule: long non-coding RNA, 295 nt
Filed under: Sorghum bicolor (sorghum)
Lineage: Eukaryota; Viridiplantae; Streptophyta; Magnoliopsida; Poales; Poaceae
Description: long non-coding RNA (SBIC_LNC014989)
Source: RNAcentral
AACAUCAGCUAGCUACGUAGCUAGCACAAUUGCAGACGUCAUAAAAGACGAUCGACUAAGGUCUUCAUUAGUUACACCUAAAAACUAAAAACUGUUCAAGAUUCUCUAUCAUAUCAAAUCUUGCGGUUUAUGCAUGGAGCAUUAAAUAUAAAUGAAAAUAAUAACUAAUUGCAUAGUUUGCUAAUAAUUUGUGAGAUGAAAUUUUUGAGCCUAGUUAGUCCAUAAUUAAAUAAUAAUUGCUAAAUACAAAUAAAAGUACUACCGUACUAAAAAAAAAUUUCACCCAAACAACUAA